Molecule: ribosomal RNA, 176 nt
Filed under: Brachoria viridicolens
Lineage: Eukaryota; Metazoa; Arthropoda; Diplopoda; Polydesmida; Xystodesmidae
Description: partial small subunit ribosomal RNA gene
Source: RNAcentral
GGAAAUACGGAUAAGGGCCAGGGAUUGGCCUCUUGGAAGGUGGAUUUGUAAGUAAUUAUUUUUAUAGAAUUAAUAGGUGAAGGGUGGAAUAACAUGUGUACAUAUUGCCCGUCGCUCUCGUUAUUUUUGAGAUAAGUCGUAACAUAGUUGAUGAACUGGAAAGUGUAUCUUUUUGA